RNAcentral lists this ribosomal RNA (491 nucleotides) under uncultured bacterium. Its description in RNAcentral is "partial 16S ribosomal RNA". It matches the Rfam family "Bacterial small subunit ribosomal RNA", at positions 28 to 506 of the family's 1533-position model. The record is from RNAcentral.
GGUGAACGCUGGCGGUAGGCCUAACACAUGCAAGUCGAACGGCAGCACAGUAAGAGCUUGCUCUUACGGGUGGCGAGUGGCGGACGGGUGAGGAAUACAUCGGAAUCUACUUUUUCGUGGGGGAUAACGUAGGGAAACUUACGCUAAUACCGCAUACGACCUACGGGUGAAAGCAGGGGAUCUUCGGACCUUGCGCGAUUGAAUGAGCCGAUGUCGGAUUAGCUAGUUGGCGGGGUAAAGGCCCACCAAGGCGACGAUCCGUAGCUGGUCUGAGAGGAUGACCAGCCACACUGGAACUGAGACACGGUCCAGACUCCUACGGGAGGCAGCGGUGGGGAAUAUUGGACAAGGGGGGCAAGCCUGACCCAGCCAUACCGGGGGGGGGAAGAAGGCUUUCGGGUUGUAAAGCCCUUUUGUUGGGAAAGAAAAGCAGCAGGUUAAUACCCCGCUGUUCUGACGGUACCCAAAGAAUAAGCACCGGCUAACUUCGU